GGGGGUGUUUUGGAUUCGACAUUCGGUCUGAUACGGGAUAAGCACGUCGUAGGCUCGGCUACGUUAAAACGGAACGUUAAAAUUAAACGCAAAAAACAAUCAAAAGAGCUCCUCUAUGGAGUUCGCUCUUGCUGCGUAAUUUAGUCAGCACGUCGACCUGAGGUUUUCUGUUCCCUCAGCAAUCGGCGUCAGAAAAACAGACAACGCAAUCCGAUUUCUCGGUAGGAUUGUUGUUAUCACGAGAUCAUCGAAGCAAGGUUUGUAGGUGAACCGAAGCAAGAAAAAUUUUAAUCACCAACUAAACGUGUAGAAAGUGCCGAGGACGGUCGGGUGGACCGGGGUUCAAAUCCCCGCAUCUCCACCA
This is a non-coding RNA of Firmicutes bacterium CAG:475, 364 nucleotides long. It matches the Rfam family "transfer-messenger RNA". Rfam says of the family: Bacterial tmRNA, also known as 10Sa RNA or SsrA, is named for its dual tRNA and mRNA-like properties. The record is from Rfam. Lineage: Bacteria; Bacillati; Bacillota.